GGAAGUAAAAGUCGUAACAAGAUUUCCGUAGGUGAACCUGCGGAAGGAUCAUUACAGUGUCCUCUGCCCUCACGGGUAGAGACGCCCACCCUUGUGUAUUAUAUCUUUGUUGCUUUGGCAGGCCGCCCUCGGGCACCGGCUCCGGCUGGAUCGCGCCUGCCAGAGGAAACCCAAACUCUGAAUGUUAGUGUCGUCUGAGUACUAUCUAAUAGUUAAAACUUUCAACAACGGAUCUCUUGGUUCUG
RNAcentral lists this unclassified non-coding RNA (245 nucleotides) under plant metagenome. Its description in RNAcentral is "partial contains small subunit ribosomal RNA, internal transcribed spacer 1, and 5.8S ribosomal RNA". The stretch from base 1 to 54 matches the Rfam family "Eukaryotic small subunit ribosomal RNA", at positions 1778 to 1831 of the family's 1831-position model. The record is from RNAcentral.